GACGAACGCUGGCGGCGUGCCUAAUACAUGCAAGUUGAGCGCUGAAGGUUGGUACUUGUACCAACUGGAUGAGCAGCGCACGGGUGAGUAACGCGUGGGGAAUCUGCCUUUGAGCGGGGGACAACAUUUGGAAACGAAUGCUAAUACCGCAUAAAAACUUUAAACACAAGUUUUAAGUUUGAAAGAUGCAAUUGCAUCACUCAAAGAUGAUCCCGCGUUGUAUUAGCUAGUUGGUGAGGUAAAGGCUCACCAAGGCGAUGAUACAUAGCCGACCUGAGAGGGUGAUCGGCCACGUUGGGACUGAGACACGGCCCAAACUCCUACGGGAGGCAGCAGUAGGGAAUCUUCGGCAAUGGACGAAAGUCUGACCGAGCAACGCCGCGUGAGUGAAGAAGGGUUUCGGAUCGUAAAACUCUGUUGGUAGAGAAGAACGUUGGUGAGAGUGGAAAGCUCAUCAAGUGACGGUAACUACCCAGAAAGGGACGGCUAACUACGUG
This 497-nucleotide ribosomal RNA is filed under the name uncultured bacterium. RNAcentral's name for it is "partial 16S ribosomal RNA". It matches the Rfam family "Bacterial small subunit ribosomal RNA", at positions 28 to 507 of the family's 1533-position model. The record is from RNAcentral.